Molecule: ribosomal RNA, 253 nt
Filed under: uncultured bacterium
Lineage: Bacteria
Description: partial 16S ribosomal RNA
Rfam family: Bacterial small subunit ribosomal RNA
Source: RNAcentral
UACGUAGGGACCAAGCGUUGUUCGGAUUUACUGGGCGUAAAGGGCGCGUAGGCGGCAUGACAAGUCACUUGUGAAAUCUCUGGGCUUAACUCAGAACGGCCAAGUGAUACUGUCGCGCUAGAGUGCGGAAGGGGCAAUCGGAAUUCUUGGUGUAGCGGUGAAAUGCGUAGAUAUCAAGAGGAACACCUGAGGUGAAGACGGGUUGCUGGGCCGACACUGACGCUGAUGCGCGAAAGCCAGGGGAGCAAACGGG